GCUCUUACGGGGGGCAGCAGUGGGGGAUAUUGCACAAUGGGGGGAACCCUGAUGCAGCGACGCCGCGUGGGUGAAGAAGCGCUUCGGCGCGUAAAGCCCUGUCAGCAGGGAGGAAAAUGACGGUACCUGAAGAAGAAGCCCCGGCUAACUACGUGCCAGCAGCCGCGGUAAUACGUAGGGGGCAAGCGUUAUCCGGAUUUACUAGGUGUAAAGGGGGCGCAGACGGCGAUGCAAGCGAGGAGUGAAAGCCCGGGGCCCAACCCCGGGGCUGCUCUUGGAACUGCGUGGCGAGAGUGCAGGAGGGG
RNAcentral lists this ribosomal RNA (305 nucleotides) under uncultured bacterium. RNAcentral's name for it is "partial 16S ribosomal RNA". It matches the Rfam family "Bacterial small subunit ribosomal RNA", at positions 335 to 657 of the family's 1533-position model. The record is from RNAcentral.